UCAUUUUUGUCCAAAUGACCAAAAUACCCCUAGAACAAAAAUUUCCGAAAUUUGGAUAAAAUUAUCAAAAUAUCAUAUUAUUAACAUAAGCUUGUAAGCAUCCAAAAUUUGGCCAAAAACUUAAAAUCUGACAUUUCAGAAUUUUUGUCCCAGGGGUAUUUUGGUCAUUUUGACAAAUUUGU
RNAcentral lists this microRNA precursor (182 nucleotides) under Oryza sativa (Asian cultivated rice). RNAcentral's name for it is "miR5162 stem-loop (osa-MIR5162)". The record is from miRBase by way of RNAcentral. Lineage: Eukaryota; Viridiplantae; Streptophyta; Magnoliopsida; Poales; Poaceae.